Molecule: ribosomal RNA, 827 nt
Filed under: Buddenbrockia sp. E JN-2020
Lineage: Eukaryota; Metazoa; Cnidaria; Myxozoa; Malacovalvulida; Saccosporidae
Description: SSU rRNA
Rfam family: Eukaryotic small subunit ribosomal RNA
Source: RNAcentral
AAAAGGGACAUUUGGGGGCAUACGAACUCGGCAGCGAGAGNUGAAAUUCUAAGACCUGCCGAGGUCGAACUAAAGCGAAAGCAUUUGCCAAGAAUGUUUUCAUUGAUCAAGAACGAAAGUUGGAGGAUCAAAAACGAUCAGAUACCGUUGUAGUUCCAACUUUAAACUAUGCCGACUGUAGGGGCCAGUUCGGUAUAUCCGUACUUAUUGACCUCCCAGGGAAACCAUAGUAGGGUUCUGGGGGGAGUACGGUCGCAAGUCUGAAACUUAAAGGAAUUGACGGAAGGGCACCACCAGGAGUGGAUCCUGCGGCUUAAUUUGACUCAACACGGGGAAACUUACCCGGUCCGGACACCGAUAGGAUUGACAGACUAAUCGCUCUUUCAUGAUACGGUGAUGAGUGGUGCAUGGCCGUUCAUAGUUGGUGGAGCGAUUUGUCUGGUUAAUUCCGUUAACGAACGAGACUAAAACCUUCAUUUAGUUUGCCAAUCAUGUUCUCAUUAUGGUUCGCCAUGAUGUGAACUAGAUUUGAUCAAACUAUUUGAAUGGGAUUAACGCCGUAAUCGAAAGGCGUUUGAAAUUUUUCAAUAACAGGUCUGUGAUGCCCUUAGAUGUCCGGGGCCGCACGCGGGAUACACUGGNGGUUGCAAAGAGUACUUAGGGAGAAAUCCUCGAGUAACCUCACGAACAACCAUCGUGACGGGGACUGAACCUUGUAAUUAUGGUUCACGAACGAGGAAUUUCUAGUAAGCGCUGGUCACAAUCCAGCGCUGAAUAUGUCCCUGCCCUUUGUACACACCGCCCGUCGCUACUACCGAUUGAAUGAC